Molecule: transfer RNA, 72 nt
Filed under: Heterocephalus glaber (naked mole-rat)
Lineage: Eukaryota; Metazoa; Chordata; Mammalia; Rodentia; Bathyergidae
Rfam family: tRNA
About the family: Transfer RNA (tRNA) molecules are approximately 80 nucleotides in length.
Source: Rfam by way of RNAcentral
GUGUGUGGACCUCUGUGGUAGAGCACUUGCCUUACAUUUAUGAGGCCCUAGGUUCCAUCCCCAGCACAUACA